This 253-nucleotide ribosomal RNA is filed under the name uncultured bacterium. Its description in RNAcentral is "partial 16S ribosomal RNA". It matches the Rfam family "Bacterial small subunit ribosomal RNA", at positions 524 to 776 of the family's 1533-position model. The record is from RNAcentral.
UACGUAGGGUGCGAGCGUUGUCCGGAAUUAUUGGGCGUAAAGGGCUCGUAGGCGGUUUGUCACGUCGGGAGUGAAAACUCAGGGCUUAACCCUGAGCCUGCUUCCGAUACGGGCAGACUAGAGGUAUGCAGGGGAGAAUGGAAUUCCUGGUGUAGCGGUGAAAUGCGCAGAUAUCAGGAGGAACACCGGUGGCGAAGGCGGCUUCCUGGCCUGUAACUGACGCUGAGACGCGAAAGCGUGGGGAGCGAACCGG